Molecule: ribosomal RNA, 496 nt
Filed under: uncultured bacterium
Lineage: Bacteria
Description: partial 16S ribosomal RNA
Rfam family: Bacterial small subunit ribosomal RNA
Source: RNAcentral
GAUGAACGCUGGCGGCGUGCCUAAUACAUGCAAGUCGAGCGAACAGAUGAGGAGCUUGCUCCUCUGACGUUAGCGGCGGACGGGUGAGUAACACGUGGAUAACCUACCUAUAAGACUGGGAUAACUUCGGGAAACCGGAGCUAAUACCGGAUAAUAUAUUGAACCGCAUGGUUCAAUAGUGAAAGACGGUUUUGCUGUCACUUAUAGAUGGAUCCGCGCCGCAUUAGCUAGUUGGUAAGGUAACGGCUUACCAAGGCAACGAUGCGUAGCCGACCUGAGAGGGUGAUCGGCCACACUGGAACUGAGACACGGUCCAGACUCCACGGGAGGCAGCAGUAGGGAAUCUUCCGCAAUGGGCGAAAGCCUGACGGAGCAACGCCGCGUGAGUGAUGAAGGUCUUCGGAUCGUAAAACUCUGUUAUUAGGGAAGAACAAAUGCGUAAGUAACUAUGCACGUCUUGACGGUACCUAAUCAGAAAGCCACGGCUAACUACGUG